RNAcentral lists this transfer RNA (72 nucleotides) under Pangasianodon gigas (Mekong giant catfish). RNAcentral's name for it is "tRNA-Glu". It matches the Rfam family "tRNA". From Rfam's summary of the family: Transfer RNA (tRNA) molecules are approximately 80 nucleotides in length. Their secondary structure includes four short double-helical elements and three loops (D, anti-codon, and T loops). Lineage: Eukaryota; Metazoa; Chordata; Actinopteri; Siluriformes; Pangasiidae. The record is from RNAcentral.
UCCCUGGAGGACUAGUGGUUAGGCCACGGUACUCUCACCGCUGUGGGCUGGGUUCGAUUCCCAGCCAGAGAA